GGGCCACGUGGUUCAGAUCUGAAUAAGUUGCGAGGUUAACAGACUGCUUGGGGCGUUACACAUCCAACAAGUAAAUCAUCUCCCAACAAGUUAUGUGAUUUUUUUUUUUUUUUUUUUUUUUUAAGUUUCAGACCAAAAUCUGUACCCCGCGCUUAAAGCAUUCCAAUGAUUGUCUCUUACUUAUUCAUCUUAUUUAAUAACCAU
This 204-nucleotide long non-coding RNA is filed under the name Elaeis guineensis (African oil palm). Its description in RNAcentral is "long non-coding RNA (EGUI_LNC007101)". The record is from RNAcentral. Lineage: Eukaryota; Viridiplantae; Streptophyta; Magnoliopsida; Arecales; Arecaceae.